Molecule: ribosomal RNA, 556 nt
Filed under: Myurellopsis paucistriata
Lineage: Eukaryota; Metazoa; Mollusca; Gastropoda; Neogastropoda; Terebridae
Description: partial 12S ribosomal RNA
Source: RNAcentral
CACCAAGAAAUUUAGUUAUACGUUUUAUGGUUAAAAGACAGUUAAAUAUUUAGAGCGUGAUGUGGGUCAAUUUAAUAGUCUGUAUGGAGGUAAAAUUCAAGUAUAGAUAUAAAAUUUAUUAAUGACUUAUAGAUUGAAUCUGUGAAAGCCUUAAGGGAAACUGGGAUUAGGUACCCCAUUAUUUCUGGGUGUAAAUUAAAUAAAAUUUACCAGAGUACUAUGAAUAUAAAAAAUUUAAAACUCAAAGAACUUGGCGGUGUUUUAGACCACUCAGGGGAACCUGUCUCGUAAUCGAUAAUCCACGUUGUAUCUGACCUUUCUUUGUUUUCAGUUUGUAUACCGUUGUCGUCAGGUAACUUUUUAGAAACUAGAAGUUAGCAGUAGAAAUAUGGUGAUUUAACACGUCAAAUCAAGGUGCAGCUAAUAGAAAGGGGAGGAUGGGUUACAAUUAUAUAAUUUAUAAUUACGGAUAAAUAUGUGAAACACGUGUUGUUUAAGGCGGACUUGAAAGUAAAUUAGGAUAUAUAAAUAAUUUGAAUAAGGCUCUGAAACGUGU